Molecule: long non-coding RNA, 1314 nt
Organism: Clupea harengus (Atlantic herring)
Lineage: Eukaryota; Metazoa; Chordata; Actinopteri; Clupeiformes; Clupeidae
Source: RefSeq, a predicted model, not a curated record
GUGAAGGAAGGUAUCGUUAUUCUGAACCUGUGCCUUAGGCAAUGUUUACAACUGCCUGGUAAAAGUGACUCGAUUUAUUGCUCAUAUGUGGCACAGAUUGGAUAUGUAUUAUGAACGUGUACACCGGAAAGAAGCACAUGGAAUCGGAUACUCUCAGAUCCGUUUCGGGCCUCAUUCUUAUGUGGAAAUAAAUCCGAUAUUGAUAUCUGUAAAUGCUACGGUCACCUAAACGGACAGAUCGUCUUUUCUGCAUUUGAAUGCCGUAUAACGUUACUUUCACGUGCACAACUGGCAAAACAGCGGAAAGUGAAAUGGAGGACCAAGGUUCAGGCCAGUGGACACCUGCCGAAGUUACCUGUCUUUGCAGACCUCUGAAGAUGCUUCGGUGUAAUUAUUUCGUUUGCGUCCGUUGCAGUGCUGGCUGGACUGACUUGACUUUCGUUUCGGUAACCAAACCCUCUUGUGCACACGCGGGUUGAUUCAAGUAUGAAGCAAGUGGAAACACAGCGGUCUGGAGGCUCUACCAAGAUGGCUGCUGAGUGGCGACUUACAGGAGUGCUCUGUGUUUGAAGAAAAGGGGAAUAAUUCACUUCACCACACAAUGUCAACCUUUCCAUUCCACUGGUGCGACAUAAAGAGGACACCUGACUCUCCCUCCCUCCCUGUCCUUUCUUUUCAUUCCCAUGCUUUUUCACACUGUACUACUAAUAUUGACAUCUACUGCUAAAAUGUGCUCAGCUCUAGCUGACCUCGUGUGAACCACACUGAGAAUAUUCUGAUUUGAACCAUUUUAACAUAAUCGUACUACAGUACACAAGGGCUGUUGGAUGGACUGUGGAAGGAGAUCCCACUAUGCUGCAAAUAUGGUGAGGGGUUCAGCCAAACCCAUAUAACCCAUUGCUCAACUCGUCAUUUGGCAUCUCUCAUCCCCUGGCUUCAAACCAAAUGACAGAGACCCAGAAUAGCACAGCUGCCUGUGCUUUAUGACUGCUAGCUUAGACACCUAGGCUCCAUGAGAGGAGCAUUUCGGGACUGUAGAGCUGCCAAAAUACUCCAUUAAUCUCCAUGAAAACAGAAGGACAUGGGUAGAGUCAACUUUCCUGUCUGCUCUGCACAGAAUAUGCAAGAAGGAAAUCAAGACACAACAACACUAACACACAAGGACAAGCAUAUGGGAGCAUGAGUGCAUGUACAGAUAUGCAGACACACAGCUGUUUGAUGGCUGAGCUGCCAUAGACACAGUAGUUUAUAUUCCAAUCAAAUUGUAACUGAUGGAGAUAAUUUCCAAACACUGUUAAUGACUUAAGAAUAUAA